UGAUUGUGGAUGGGCAAGAGCUGCGUACCAACCCAGCAGCCUCAAUGGAGAGCAUCCAGAAGUUCCUGGGUUUGAUGAUGAUAAGGGAUUUUGGUGCCAGGGACUUGAAGGUGGUAAGACUCGCUGUCUAGGCCGGAGCAAAGGCCGGAGGUAUCCAGAUAUGGACACUGAGGAAACGUGGGAAGAAUAAGUACGUGAGAGCCAGUUGGGAGAAACAAAGUUGUGCAGGCCAAGGGCAUAAAGCCCAAUCUCGAAGGCGCAAAGGUGCAGGUUGCGGUGAGGACCCUGGUGGCCCCCUGAGGAAGAUGGAUGUGUGAAAAUGGAAGUGCUGCUGUUGCCCCCUGCCUUGAUCAGCACUGUCUUCGCCAGCUCGAAGUAGAAGUGUGCAGCUGCCUCUGAUGGCUGAUUGGUCUUCGCCCGGGCUCCUCCACUGGCACUGGCCCGGCGACUUCCACUGGAGGAUGAGGAGCCCAGGGAGUCCGAAGAAGAGCUGCUAAUGCUGUCACUGUCCUGACCUCGACCCCAGGAGGUGGGGGCCCAGCCCCCUCGAAGUGGUCUCCGGCUUAAGGUGGGGGAACUAUCCGAUGUUGUUUCAGGGGCACUGCUGUCAAUGCUGGCCAUGCCUAACCCCCAAGAGAAGUCAGUCUCAGAAGUCAGGAGUCCCAGAUGUUAAGACUCCAACCUUCAGGAUUAUCCUUCCCUCUAUGCUAGCCCACAGGCUAUCCUACCUGUGUGCUUCUUCUUAGGCCGUCCUGGGGACCCCCAUCCCCGUCCAUUAUAGCCUCCACGACUGCCAAGUGCCAAGCGGCUAGGAACCUUCCCUUCUGGCCUUGGGGUCAAAGCUGCCUCAGAUGGAAGACCCUCACAGGGG
RNAcentral lists this long non-coding RNA (871 nucleotides) under Homo sapiens (human). RNAcentral's name for it is "non-protein coding ZSWIM8-AS1:1". The record is from RNAcentral. Lineage: Eukaryota; Metazoa; Chordata; Mammalia; Primates; Hominidae.